Arabidopsis thaliana (thale cress) is the source of this 194-nucleotide non-coding RNA. RefSeq annotates it as other RNA. The record is from RefSeq. The transcript has a single exon. Lineage: Eukaryota; Viridiplantae; Streptophyta; Magnoliopsida; Brassicales; Brassicaceae.
ACGAAGCAACACAAGAAGUUUCUCUGCAACAAGAAAUCAAAACAUUAAGAGACUAUUGAAUCAUGUAGAAGAAGAUAACAUCUUCAACAACCAUUGGGGAUCAAAAUCUUAUUUUUUUACAGAAUUCAUCGCCGGUGAAUCAGUAAUGAGAAAGAGAGUGAGAGAGAUUACUGUCUAGGUAAGCAGCAAGAGAA